This 492-nucleotide ribosomal RNA is filed under the name uncultured bacterium. Its description in RNAcentral is "partial 16S ribosomal RNA". It matches the Rfam family "Bacterial small subunit ribosomal RNA", at positions 29 to 507 of the family's 1533-position model. The record is from RNAcentral.
AGUGAACGCUGGCGGUAGGCCUAACACAUGCAAGUCGAACGGUAGCACAGUAAGAGCUUGCUCUUACGGGUGGCGAGUGGCGGACGGGUGAGGAAUACAUCGGAAUCUACUUUUUCGUGGGGGAUAACGUAGGGAAACUUACGCUAAUACCGCAUACGACCUACGGGUGAAAGCAGGGGAUCUUCGGACCUUGCGCGAUUGAAUGAGCCGAUGUCGGAUUAGCUAGUUGGCGGGGCAAAGGCCCACCAAGGCGACGAUCCGUAGCUGGUCUGAGAGGAUGAUCAGCCACACUGGAACUGAGACACGGUCCAGACUCCUACGGGAGGCAGCAGUGGGGAAUAUUGGACAAUGGGCGCAAGCCUGAUCCAGCCAUACCGCGUGGGUGAAGAAGGCCUUCGGGUUGUAAAGCCCUUUUGUUGGGAAAGAAAAGCAGCAGGUUAAUACCCCGCUGUUCUGACGGUACCCAAAGAAUAAGCACCGGCUAACUUCGUG